AGUAAAAUAGACUAAAUAAUAAGUCAUUAGGCCCAUAACCUAAAUAUGAAAAACUCUUUUACU
Molecule: transfer RNA, 63 nt
Filed under: Neoamphitrite affinis
Lineage: Eukaryota; Metazoa; Annelida; Polychaeta; Terebellida; Terebellidae
Description: tRNA-Met
Source: RNAcentral